RNAcentral lists this ribosomal RNA (593 nucleotides) under Aureobasidium sp. 5-2-2. RNAcentral's name for it is "eukaryotic LSU rRNA". It matches the Rfam family "Eukaryotic large subunit ribosomal RNA", at positions 69 to 681 of the family's 3401-position model. The record is from RNAcentral. Lineage: Eukaryota; Fungi; Ascomycota; Dothideomycetes; Dothideales; Saccotheciaceae.
ACAUGAUGCUAGUACGGCGAGUGAGCGGCAACAGCUCAAAUUUGAAAGCUAGCCUUCGGGUUCGCAUUGUAAUUUGUAGAGGAUGAUUUGGGGAAGCCGCCUGUCUAAGUUCCUUGGAACAGGACGUCAUAGAGGGUGAGAAUCCCGUAUGUGACAGGAAAUGGCACCCUAUGUAAAUCUCCUUCGACGAGUCGAGUUGUUUGGGAAUGCAGCUCUAAAUGGGAGGUAAAUUUCUUCUAAAGCUAAAUAUUGGCGAGAGACCGAUAGCGCACAAGUAGAGUGAUCGAAAGAUGAAAAGCACUUUGGAAAGAGAGUUAAAAAGCACGUGAAAUUGUUGAAAGGGAAGCGCUUGCAAUCAGACUUGUUUAAACUGUUCGGCCGGUCUUCUGACCGGUUUACUCAGUUUGGACAGGCCAGCAUCAGUUUCGGCGGCCGGAUAAAGGCUCUGGGAAUGUGGCCUCCACUUCGGUGGAGGUGUUAUAGCCCAGGGUGUAAUACGGCCAGCCGGGACUGAGGUCCGCGCUUCGGCUAGGAUGCUGGCGUAAUGGUUGUAAGCGACCCGUCUUGAACCACCGGACCAAAAAAACGCCCGC